Long non-coding RNA from Gasterosteus aculeatus aculeatus (three-spined stickleback), 1912 nucleotides. The record is from Ensembl. NCBI's taxonomy places the organism in Eukaryota, Metazoa, Chordata, Actinopteri, Perciformes, Gasterosteidae.
GUAGAGUCUAGAGAUGCGCUUGUCGAAAUCUCUCGCCCAGCUAUUUGCAAUUAUUUCCCGUUGACAUGUAACUUUCACCCUUUUGUCGGCUCGUUGGUCUAGGGGUAUGAUUCUCGCUUAGGGUGCGAGAGGUCCCGGGUCCAAAUCCCGGACGAGCCCGGAAGUGCUCUUUUGAAAAGUCAAUAGAUGUGAUUAGUAAAAUGAAAUAUGUCCGUACGAAAAGGUCACUUCCAAAUUUAUUCAACUAACGUAGAGUCUAGAGAUGCGCUUGUCGAAUUCUCUCGCCCAGCUAUUUGCAAUUAUUUCCCGUUGACAUGUAACUUUCACCCUUUUGUCGGCUCGUUGGUCUAGGGGUAUGAUUCUCGCUUAGGGUGCGAGAGGUCCCGGGUCCAAAUCCCGGACGAGCCCGGAAUUGGUCUUUUGAAACAGUCAAUGGCUGUGAUUAGUCAAACGAAAUAUUUCUAUACGAAAACGUUACUUCCAAAUUUAUUCAACUAACGUAGAGUCUAGAGAUGCGCUUGUCGAAUUCUCUCGCCCAGCUAUUUGCAAUUAUUUCCCGUUGACAUGUAACUUUCACCCUUUUGUCGGCUCGUUGGUCUAGGGGUAUGAUUCUCGCUUCGGGUGCGAGAGGUCCCGGGUUCAAAUCCCGGACGAGCCCGAUGGAACUUGUUUGAUGCUGUUAGCGGUUGUAAUUUGUAAAUGAUGACAAAAAAGUUACUCCCCAAUUUGGUCAGUGAACGACCAUAUUGCUAGUUUGUUUCCAAAAAAUAGGCAAACACAACAAACUAGUGAAAAAAAAACAAGCAAUUUGUUGACCACGGAUACGCUGAUUCAAUUCUCUUGCCUGGCCAAAUAGGAUUUUGUCCCAUGGACAUAGCAUUAAUAGUUUUUGUCGGCUCGUUGGUCUAGGGGUAUGAUUCUCGCUUUGGGUGCGAGAGGUCCCGGGUCCAAAUCCCGGACGAGCCCGGAAUUGGUCUUUUGAAACAGUCAAUGGCUGUGAUUAGUCAAACGAAAUAUUUCUAUACGAAAACGUUACUUCCAAAUUUAUUCAACUAACGUAGAGUCUAGAUAUGCGCUUUUCAAAUUCUCUCGCCUAGCUAUUUGCGAUUAUGUCCUGUUUUCAUGUAACUUUGACCCUUUUGUCGGCUCGUUGGUCUAGGGGUAUGAUUCUCGCUUCGGGUGCGAGAGGUCCCGGGUUCAAAUCCCGGACGAGCCUGAUGGAACUUGUUUGAUGCUGUUAGCGGUUGUAAUUUGUAAAUGAUGACAAAAAAGUUACUCCCCAAUUUGGUCAGUGAACGACCAUAUUGCUAGUAUGUUUCCAAAAAAUAGGCAAACACAACAAACUAGUGAAAAAAAACAAGCAAUUUGUUGACCACGGAUACGCUGAUUCAAUUCUCUUGCCUGGCCAAAUAGGAUUUUGUCCCAUGGACAUAGCAUUAAUAGUUUUUGUCGGCUCGUUGGUCUAGGGGUAUGAUUCUCGCUUUGGGUGCGAGAGGUCCCGGGUCCAAAUCCCGGACGAGCCCGGAAGUGCUCUUUUGAAAAAGUCAAUAGAUGUGAUUAGUAAAAUGAAAUAUGUCCAUACGAAAAGGUCACUUCCAAAUUUAUUCAACUAACGUAGAGUCUAGAGAUGCGCUUGUCGAAUUCUCUCGCCCAGCUAUUUGCAAUUAUUUCCCGUUGACAUGUAACUUUCACCCUUUUGUCGGCUCGUUGGUCUAGGGGUAUGAUUCUCGCUUAGGGUGCGAGAGGUCCCGGGUCCAAAUCCCGGACGAGCCCGGAAUUGGUCUUUUGAAACAGUCAAUGGCUGUGAUUAGUCAAACGAAAUAUUUCUAUACGAAAACGUUACUUCCAAAUUUAUUCAACUAACGUAGAGUCUAGAGAUGCGCUUGUCGAAUUCUCUCGCCCAGCUAUUUGC